AAAAAAGCAUUGAAGCCCCAAGAUGAAAAUUGCCCACCUAAAUUCAAAAAACAGCGCAACUCGUUAAUCUCUCUACCUGCGCCUGCCAAAAACCUCAGAUUUACCCUUGAAUAAUAGAUCCAUGGAUAGUCCUACUGUGGAUGGAUUAAACGGGCGCAUAAACUUCCGAGAGGGAGCCAUCUGGGGGUCUUCCUUAUUGGUUUUCUUCCUCCUGGAAGGGCCCCCACUGGCUCCAGCGCUUUUAAUGGAUGCAGAUGACUUUGAAGUGAAUAUCGAUGAGUUGAAAGAAGAAUCAGGUGCACCAAAUGAUACAGGGGCUUUAUGUGAUGCAUCUAUACGAUGCCCAACUGCUGCAUCCUGAUGAGGAGGUGGAAAUUUUUCACUCUUGCUCUUAGCAUUUGCUUGUGUCAUGACUCUCAAUCUAUCUAAGUUUGAUGGAUUCUCUGCAUUGGCUUCGGGUGCUGGAAUUGCCCUGCCUACCCGAUCACGAAUUCUAACUCUUCUAGCACCAUCAACAACAUUUGCUUUUCCACUAAGGCCUCUUUGCCUCCUUGCUUCCUCUUCUCUCAACUUCACAUCCAUUUCUUUGCUGGGAGGAUACUUGGGCAAACUUGAUGGCUCACAAGCAUAAGGUUCAGUGGUAAAGAAUUCACUAUUUAGAGCACUAGUGGCAGUGCCACGAUUAUCAGGGUCAACUGAAAGA
RNAcentral lists this unclassified non-coding RNA (703 nucleotides) under Hevea brasiliensis (rubber tree). Lineage: Eukaryota; Viridiplantae; Streptophyta; Magnoliopsida; Malpighiales; Euphorbiaceae. The record is from RNAcentral.